AGUGAACGCUGGCGGCAGGCCUAACACAUGCAAGUCGAACGGCAGCACAGUAAGAGCUUGCUCUUACGGGUGGCGAGUGGCGGACGGGUGAGGAAUACAUCGGAAUCUACUUUUUCGUGGGGGAUAACGUAGGGAAACUUACGCUCAUACCGCAUAUGAUCCACGGGUGAAAGCAGGGGAUCUUCGCACCUUGCGCGAUUGAAUGAGCCGAUGUCGGAUUAGCUAGUUGGCGGGUUAAAGGCCCACCAAGGCGCCGAUCCGUAGCUGGUCGGAGAGGAUGAUCAGCCACACUGGAACUGAGACACGGUCCAGACUCCUACGGGAGGCAGCAGUGGGGAAUAUUGGACAAAGGGCGCAAGCCUGAUCCAGCCAGACCGCGUGGGUGAAGAAGGCCUUCGGGUUGUAAAGACCUUUUGUUGGGAAAGAAAAGCAGCAGGUUAAUACCCCGCUGUUCUGACGGUACCCAAAGAAUAAGCACCGGCUAACUUCGUG
RNAcentral lists this ribosomal RNA (492 nucleotides) under uncultured bacterium. RNAcentral describes it as "partial 16S ribosomal RNA". It matches the Rfam family "Bacterial small subunit ribosomal RNA", at positions 29 to 507 of the family's 1533-position model. The record is from RNAcentral.